Molecule: long non-coding RNA, 210 nt
Filed under: Brassica napus (rape)
Lineage: Eukaryota; Viridiplantae; Streptophyta; Magnoliopsida; Brassicales; Brassicaceae
Description: long non-coding RNA (BNAP_LNC026078)
Source: RNAcentral
UGUGGAUGCUUGAUGAUGAGUGUAGGGGCAAAAGGAGUUGAGAUAGGCCUAGAGAAGCUAGAGUGUAAUAAGAGAGUGUGCUAAUUGUGUUUGCUAGUUGUGUUUCUUUUGGCUAUGAGCUCCCACCUUCAAACCUCUCUCCCUAUGAGUUCUAGAAAGUUCACUUGUCGACAAGUAAAGAACAAGUUUGGGGGAGUUGAUAUCUUGCAU